AGAGUUUGAUCCUGGCUCAGGACGAACGCUGGCGGCGUGCUUAACACAUGCAAGUCGAGCGGAAAGGCCCUUCGGGGUACUCGAGCGGCGAACGGGUGAGUAACACGUGAGCAACCUGCCCCUGGCUCUGGGAUAGCCUCCGGAAACGGGGAUUAAUACCGGACAUUCUCCUUCUUCCGCAUGGUUGAGGGUGGAAAGUUUUUUCGGCCGGGGAGGGGCUCGCGGCCUAUCAGCUUGUUGGCGGGGUAACGGCCCACCAAGGCGACGACGGGUAGCCGGCCUGAGAGGGUGUCCGGCCACACUGGGACUGAGAUACGGCCCAGACUCCUACGGGAGGCAGCAGUGGGGAAUAUUGCACAAUGGGCGCAAGCCUGAUGCAGCGACGCCGCGUGGGGGAUGACGGCCUUCGGGUUGUAAACCUCUUUCACCAUCGGCGAAGCCUCUGGGUGUUCUCAGGGGUGACGGUAGGUGGAGAAGAGCA
This 481-nucleotide ribosomal RNA is filed under the name uncultured bacterium. Its description in RNAcentral is "bacterial SSU rRNA". It matches the Rfam family "Bacterial small subunit ribosomal RNA", at positions 8 to 492 of the family's 1533-position model. The record is from RNAcentral.